Molecule: transfer RNA, 75 nt
Filed under: Bacteroidota bacterium
Lineage: Bacteria; Pseudomonadati; Bacteroidota
Description: Bacteroidetes bacterium (groundwater metagenome) tRNA-Asp
Rfam family: tRNA
About the family: Transfer RNA (tRNA) molecules are approximately 80 nucleotides in length.
Source: RNAcentral
GGACCGGUAGUUCAGUUUGGUUAGAAUGCCUGCCUGUCACGCAGGAGGUCGCGGGUUCGAGUCCCGUCCGGUCCG